RNAcentral lists this ribosomal RNA (253 nucleotides) under uncultured microorganism. RNAcentral's name for it is "partial 16S ribosomal RNA". It matches the Rfam family "Bacterial small subunit ribosomal RNA", at positions 524 to 776 of the family's 1533-position model. The record is from RNAcentral.
UACGUAGGGUGCGAGCGUUAUUCGGAUUUACUGGGCGUAAAGCGUGCGCAGGCGGCCCGUUAAGACAGGUGUGAAAUCCCUGGGCUCAACCUAGGAAUUGCGCUUGUGACUGGCGGGCUCGAGUACGGUAGAGGGGGGUGGAAUUCCUGGUGUAGCAGUGAAAUGCGUAGAGAUCAGGAGGAACACCGAUGGCGAAGGCAGCCCCCUGGGCCUGUACUGACGCUCAUGCACGAAAGCGUGGGGAGCAAACAGG